CGCGUAAAUAAUCUACCCUGAUGUCUGGGAUAACCAGCCGAAAGGCUGACUAAUACCGGCUAUAUGGUGCCCUGUUGGGGGUAUCAGGAAAGGUGGCCUCUUCUUGAAAGCUAUCGCAUUGGGAUGAGUUUGCGUACCAUUAGCUAGUUGGUGGGGUAAAGGCCUACCAAGGCGACGAUGGUUAGCGGGUCUGAGAGGAUGAUCCGUCACACUGGCACUGGAACACGGGCCAG
RNAcentral lists this ribosomal RNA (233 nucleotides) under uncultured bacterium. RNAcentral describes it as "partial 16S ribosomal RNA". It matches the Rfam family "Bacterial small subunit ribosomal RNA", at positions 114 to 334 of the family's 1533-position model. The record is from RNAcentral.